UGUAAGGGGUAGUCUCGUCAAUGUGCGCGUGACGUGGUUGUGCGCGUGCAGAUCGCUGACUGGAGUCUGUCAGAUCGGUUCCAGAUUACUUUCGGUUUCGUUUCCUCUGCCGCUGUUUCAAGGAGUGGUAAAUGUGCGUGCCUGAACACUAAACGACCUCUGUUCAUUUAAGAACUGUAUAAUGCUGGAUGAUAUAAAGUGACACAUCUUGAAGAUAUAAACCACCGAACAACCAUCUGUCUCCUGUCACACUUCUUGCUGGAGUUCAGCAGUGGACUAGCAUUCUAUAGAGAACAGACUUCUUUUACAGGUGAUGGAGAUUCAUCAGUCUACAGUGAUUCUGCUGCUGCUCUUGUGUGUGUCGUCCUACACUCAUGCUCAAUCAUGGGCUCGUUAUCAAAACUUCCUCAAUCACCAUCGGGGUCCUUUUGUGAAUGUGGAGAUGUGUACCAGUGAAAUCAGACACAGGAAAAUAACGGACUCUGCUGGUGAAUGCAAACGUGUCAACAGCUUCAUACGAGCCCCAGAUGAACACAUUACAGCAGUCUGUACCGGAGGAACUCGACUGUACUAUAACCUGUUUAGAAGCGGCACGCCAUUUGAUGUGGUCACGUGUAGAUUAAAAAGUGGGCAGACACACCCAAACUGUGAAUAUUAUAGAGGGAGGUUGUCCAUUCAAUACAUUGUGUUAGCGUGUGAACACGGCUUGCCUGUACAUUAUGAAAGCUAAAAGUAACGUACAGAGGACAGGCUGAAUAGAGCCUCACAGACCUUCACAACAGUUCGCUAAUCUUUUGAGCACUUCUCCUUUUCUGUCUUCCUUUGUUUUUCAAGUGCAAAAAAAAAAUAAGUGAGUGAAUCGUGAAGCCUAAAUAAGUAAAUAUAAUGUAUAAGGUUAAUGAGCAGUCAUUCUUGACAUGUGUUGUAAACAUGAGCAACACUGUUUGAGAGUAAAGUCUAUAAUGAAGCACAGCUGUGAACAUGAACACGUGUUUAAACAUCGAUUGCCUGUUGUGUUUUGAAAAGCUACCUUACAAUCUCUAAUUAUAUUCUGAAGAACAGCAUACAAGUUCAUCUUCAAUGAAAGAAAAUGUACCCGUCUUCAUGAGACUCUGAUAAGAAUGAGUCUCUCAUCACUCACCUAAUUGAACAUAAUGUUAAAAAUAACUUUAAUUUCUUAUAUAAGUAUAUUCUGCACUUCUUCAUGCAUGUCUCUGUGUGUAAUUGUAAUGACAUUUAAAGCCUUCUGUUAACACUUUUAAGCAUGUUUAAAAACUGUUUAAUGGGAGUAAUGAAUGAAAACAGACGAGGGAAGAAAGAUGCAGAUGUUUUUUUCCACAUGCCUGUAAUCCUCAUUAAACCAUCUCUACUACCAUUAAA
Long non-coding RNA from Carassius auratus (goldfish), 1380 nucleotides. RefSeq lists it as uncharacterized. NCBI's taxonomy places the organism in Eukaryota, Metazoa, Chordata, Actinopteri, Cypriniformes, Cyprinidae. The transcript has 3 exons. The record is from RefSeq and is a predicted model, not a curated record.